RNAcentral lists this ribosomal RNA (468 nucleotides) under uncultured bacterium. Its description in RNAcentral is "partial 16S ribosomal RNA". It matches the Rfam family "Bacterial small subunit ribosomal RNA", at positions 28 to 507 of the family's 1533-position model. The record is from RNAcentral.
GACGAACGCUGGCGGCGCGCCUAACACAUGCAAGUCGAACGGAGUCAGGAGGAGCUUGCUUUUCUUGACUUAGUGGCGAACGGGUGAGUAACGCGUGAGUAACCUGCCCUGGAGUGGGGGACAAAAGUUGGAAACGACUGCUAAUACCGCAUAAGCCCACGGAUCUGCAUGGAUCUGCGGGAAAAGGAUUUAUUCGCUCUAGGAUGGACUCGCGUCCAAUUAGCGAGUUGGUGAGGUAACGGCCCACCAAGGCGACGAUUGGUGGCCGGACUGAGAGGUUGAACGGCCACAUUGGGACUGAGACACGGCCCAGACUCCUACGGGAGGCAGCAGUGGGGGAUAUUGCACAAUGGGGGAAACCCUGAUGCAGCGACGCCGCGUGGAGGAAGAAGGUUUUCGGAUUGUAAACUCCUGUCGUUAGGGACGAUAAUGACGGUACCUAACAAGAAAGCACCAGCUAACUACGUG